RNAcentral lists this transfer RNA (76 nucleotides) under bacterium. RNAcentral describes it as "tRNA-Cys". It matches the Rfam family "tRNA". From Rfam's summary of the family: Transfer RNA (tRNA) molecules are approximately 80 nucleotides in length. Their secondary structure includes four short double-helical elements and three loops (D, anti-codon, and T loops). The record is from RNAcentral.
GGCCAUAUGGCGAAGUGGUUAACGCGGCGGUCUGCAAAACCGCUAUUCGUGGGUUCGAUCCUCACUGUGGCCUCCA